GCUGCUGUGAGGUCUGUAGUUACAAUCCAAGCAGAGAGCUCAGACUGACCCGCAACACCCUCGCGUGGCAGGCUGAGAGGGAAGCCAGGAGGCUAUCGCCCACACUCAGAAAAGGACACAAACAGGAGAGGAGCUCAUUCCCUCACUGCCUGCAUUGCAGCUUAUGUAACCUGAGCCAGCGUGAACAGGAGCAAGCCCUAGCUGCUGUGUUAGCUGGCAUCCUGUGGGCUGCAGGCACAGCUCAGAAAGCCAUCGUCUGCUUUGUCACCAAAGACAUCCAUAGCACUUCAACUCUCGACUGCUCCAGAGACAAUUUCAUUGAGAGGGUAAGUGCGCUCCAGCCAUUGUGUUGGCUAAAGAGCCAGUGACGCUUGAGUGUGAUCAUGGUCACGGAAGCACAGCCCCCACUGAGGACCUGAAUCAGCCAGCCAUACCUUCUUCAGAGGGUGCAAGCACCAAGGGGCCGUAAGGGAUUGGGGCAGUGAAAAUGAAGAAUGUCUCCUAAAGUUCCCUUUAAUUGAGAAUAUACUGCACUUAAGCUGGUAGGCUUCGGUGUGUUCUAGUGGUAACAAGUGCUGCUAAGCCUUGGGUUUGAUAUGCUCCACCAAAAAAAGG
This 615-nucleotide long non-coding RNA is filed under the name Rattus norvegicus (Norway rat). RNAcentral describes it as "long non-coding RNA NONRATT016420". The record is from RNAcentral. Lineage: Eukaryota; Metazoa; Chordata; Mammalia; Rodentia; Muridae.